GAUGAAGAACGUAGCGAAAUGCGAUAAGUAAUGUGAAUUGCAGAAUUCAGUGAAUCAUCGAAUCUUUGAACGCACCUUGCGCCCUUUGGCCAUUCCGAAGGGCAUGCCUGUUUGAGUAUCAUGAACACCUCAACUCUCAUGGCUUGCCAUGAUGAGCUUGGACUUUUGGGGGUCUUGCUGGCCUGCGGUCAGCUCCUCUCAAAUGAAUUAGCUUUCCAGUGUUUGGUUGGCAUCACAGGUGUGAAAACUAUCUACGCUUGUGGUUUCCACCAGGUAACCUUCAGUAACAUGGGGGUUUGCUGGAGCUCAUAAAUGUCUCUCCUCAGUGGGGACAGCUCUUUGAACGUUUGAUCUCAAAUCAGGUAGGACUACCCGCUGAACUUAAGCAUAUCAAUAAGCGGAGGA
RNAcentral lists this unclassified non-coding RNA (405 nucleotides) under soil metagenome. RNAcentral describes it as "partial contains 5.8S ribosomal RNA, internal transcribed spacer 2, and large subunit ribosomal RNA". The stretch from base 1 to 121 matches the Rfam family "5.8S ribosomal RNA", at positions 35 to 154 of the family's 154-position model. The record is from RNAcentral.